GUGCUCGCUACGGUGGCACAUAUACUAAAAUUGGAUCGAUACAGAGAAGAUUAGCAUGGCCCCUGCGCAAAGGA
Danio rerio (zebrafish) is the source of this 74-nucleotide small nuclear RNA. Lineage: Eukaryota; Metazoa; Chordata; Actinopteri; Cypriniformes; Danionidae. The record is from Ensembl.